Molecule: ribosomal RNA, 392 nt
Filed under: uncultured bacterium
Lineage: Bacteria
Description: bacterial SSU rRNA
Rfam family: Bacterial small subunit ribosomal RNA
Source: RNAcentral
AUUGAACGCUGGCGGCAUGCCUUACACAUGCAAGUCGAACGGCAGCACGGGAGCAAUCCUGGUGGCGAGUGGCGAACGGGUGAGUAAUAUAUCGGAACGUGCCCGGUCGUGGGGAUAACGUAGCGAAAGCUACGCUAAUACCGCAUACGAUCUACGGAUGAAAGCGGGGGAUCGCAAGACCUCGCGCGAUUGGAGCGGCCGAUAUCAGAUUAGGUAGUUGGUGAGGUAAAGGCUCACCAAGCCGACGAUCUGUAGCUGGUCUGAGAGGACGACCAGCCACACUGGGACUGAGACACGGCCCAGACUCCUACGGGAGGCAGCAGUGGGAAUUUGGACAAUGGGCGCAAGCCUGAUCCAGCAAUGCCGCGUGCAGGAUGAAGGCCUCGGUGUAA